RNAcentral lists this ribosomal RNA (450 nucleotides) under Auxenochlorella pyrenoidosa. RNAcentral describes it as "bacterial SSU rRNA". It matches the Rfam family "Bacterial small subunit ribosomal RNA", at positions 241 to 707 of the family's 1533-position model. Lineage: Eukaryota; Viridiplantae; Chlorophyta; Trebouxiophyceae; Chlorellales; Chlorellaceae. The record is from RNAcentral.
UUAGCUUGUUGGUGAGGUAAUGGCUUACCAAGGCAAUGAUCAGUAGCUGGUCUGAGAGGAUGAUCAGCCACACUGGGACUGAGACACGGCCCAGACUCCUACGGGAGGCAGCAGUGAGGAAUUUUCCGCAAUGGGCGAAAGCCUGACGGAGCAAUGCCGCGUGAAGGAUGAAGGCCUAUGGGUUGUAAACUUCUUUUCUCAGAGAAGAAUAUUGACGGUAUCUGAGGAAUAAGCAUCGGCUAACUCUGUGCCAGCAGCCGCGGUAAGACAGAGGAUGCAAGCGUUAUCCGGAAUGAUUGGGCGUAAAGCGUCUGUAGGUGGCUUCAAAAGUCUCCUGUCAAAGAUCAGGGCUUAACCCUGGGCCGGCAGGAGAAACUCUGAGGCUAGAGUUUGGUAGGGGCAGAGGGAAUUCCCGGUGGAGCGGUGAAAUGCGUAGAGAUCGGGAGGAAC